GGAAUAUUGGACAAUGGCCGGAAGGCUGAUCCAGCCAUGCCGCGUGCGGGCGGACGGCCCUAUGGGUUGUAAACCGCUUUUGCGGGGGAGCAAUAAGUGUUACGCGUAACACGAUGAGAGUUCCCUGCGAAUAAGCAUCGGCUAACUCCGUGCCAGCAGCCGCGGUAAUACGGAGGAUGCAAGCGUUAUCCGGAUUUAUUGGGUUUAAAGGGUGCGUAGGCGGCUUGGUAAGCGGGAGGUGAAAUGCCGGCGCUCAACGUCGGAAGUGCCUCCCGAACUGUCGGGCUUGAAUAGUACUGCCGUGGGAGGAAUGAGUGGUGUAGCGGUGAAAUGCUUAGAGAUCACUCAGAACACCGAUUGCGAAGGCAUCUCACGAAGUACCGAUUGACGCUGAGGCACGAAAGCGUGGGGAUCAAACA
Molecule: ribosomal RNA, 419 nt
Filed under: uncultured bacterium
Lineage: Bacteria
Description: bacterial SSU rRNA
Rfam family: Bacterial small subunit ribosomal RNA
Source: RNAcentral